AUGUGGGUAGUCCGUACGAGCGCACCUUGCUCCUUAUUUGCCAGCACGUAAUGGUGGGAACUCUAAGGAGACUGCCGGUGACAAACCGGAGGAAGGUGGGGACGACGUCAAGUCAUCAUGGCCCUUAUGACCAGGGCCUACACACGUGCUACAAUGGAGCGUACAGAGGGUUGCUAAGCCGCGAGGUGGAACCAAUCCCAGAAAACGUUUCGUAGUCCGGAUCGAAGUCUGCAACUCGACUUCGUGAAGUCGGAAUCGCUAGUAAUCGCGAAUCAGCAUGUCGCGGUGAAUACGUUCCCGGGCCUUGUACACACCGCCCGUCACACCAUGGGAGUGGGUUGCAAAAGAAGUGGCUAGUCUAACCUUCGGGAGGACGGUCACCACCUUGUGAUUCAUGACUGGGGUGAAGUCGUAACAAGGUAGCCCUAGGGGAACCUGGGGCUGGAUCACCUCCUU
Molecule: ribosomal RNA, 456 nt
Filed under: uncultured Gammaproteobacteria bacterium
Lineage: Bacteria; Pseudomonadati; Pseudomonadota; Gammaproteobacteria
Description: bacterial SSU rRNA
Rfam family: Bacterial small subunit ribosomal RNA
Source: RNAcentral